GAUGAAGAACGUAGCGAAAUGCGAUAAGUAGUGUGAAUUGCAGAAUUCAGUGAAUCAUCGAAUCUUUGACCGCACAUUGCGCCCCUUGGUAUUCCAUGGGGCAUGCCUGUUCGAGCGUCAUUUGUACCUUCAAGCUUUGCUUGGUGUUGGGUGUUUGUCUCGCCUCCGCGUGUAGACUCGCCUCAAAACAAUUGGCAGCCGGCGUAUUGAUUUCGGAGCGCAGUACAUCUCGCGCUUGCACUCACAACGACGACGUCCAAAAGUACAUUUUUACACUCUUGACCUCGGAUCAGGUAGGGAUACCCGCUGAACUUAAGCAUAUCAAUAAGCGGAGGA
Molecule: unclassified non-coding RNA, 336 nt
Filed under: soil metagenome
Description: partial contains 5.8S ribosomal RNA, internal transcribed spacer 2, and large subunit ribosomal RNA
Rfam family: 5.8S ribosomal RNA (bases 1-120)
Source: RNAcentral